Molecule: ribosomal RNA, 468 nt
Filed under: uncultured bacterium
Lineage: Bacteria
Description: partial 16S ribosomal RNA
Rfam family: Bacterial small subunit ribosomal RNA
Source: RNAcentral
GACGAACGCUGGCGGCGUGCUUAACACAUGCAAGUCGAACGGAAAGGCCCUGCUUUUGUUGCGUUCUCGUUUGGCGCACGGGUGAGUAACACGUGUGUAACCUCCCCUUGACUUUGUGGUAUCUUCUGGAAACUCGGGCUAUUACCGGAUAUGAGCUCCUGCUGCAUGUUGUGGGUUGGAAAGUUUCGGCGGUUGGGGAUGGACUCGCGGCUUAUCAGCUUGUUGGUGGGGUAGUGGCUUACCAAGGCUUUGACGGGUAGCCUGCCUGUGAGGGUUACCGGGGACAAGAGGACUAAGAUACGGCCCAGAAUGGUACGGGAGGCAGCAGGGGGGAAUAUGGCAGAAUGGGCGGAAGCCUGAUACAGCAACGUCGCGAGCGGGAUGACGGCCUUCGGGGUGUAAACAGAUGUCGCCGGAGACGAAGAGGGAGUGACGGUAAUGAGUAAAGAAGCAACGGCUAACUACGUG